This 378-nucleotide ribosomal RNA is filed under the name uncultured Actinomycetes bacterium. RNAcentral describes it as "uncultured actinobacterium partial 16S ribosomal RNA". The record is from RNAcentral. Lineage: Bacteria; Bacillati; Actinomycetota; Actinomycetes.
CACGUAGUUAGCCGGCGCUUCUUGUCCAGCUACCGUCAACCCACCCACCAGGGGCAGGCCUGCUUCACUGGCGAAAGAGGUUCACAACCCGAAGGCCUCCAUCCCUCACGCGGCGUCGCUGCAUCAGGCUUGCGCCCAUUGUGCAAUAUUCCCCACUGCUGCCUCCCGUAGGAGUCUGGGCCGUGUCUCAGUCCCAGUCGUGACCGUCCACCCUCUCGAGGCCGGCUACCCCGUCACCGUCCUUGGUACGGCCAUCCGACCCCACCAACAAGGCUGAUACGGCCGCGACGCCCACUCCCCCACCACGAAAAAACCCUUUCCCACGACCCAUCAUCGCGACACGACCCAGAACUACUACCCGUAUUACGCCACUACUUU